ACCUGGGUGGCUUAGUCGGUUAAGUGUCUGACUUUGGCUCAGGUCAUGAUCUUGAAGUUUGUGGGUUCGAGCCCCACCUCAGCUC
This 85-nucleotide transfer RNA is filed under the name Felis catus (domestic cat). It matches the Rfam family "tRNA". Rfam says of the family: Transfer RNA (tRNA) molecules are approximately 80 nucleotides in length. Their secondary structure includes four short double-helical elements and three loops (D, anti-codon, and T loops). Lineage: Eukaryota; Metazoa; Chordata; Mammalia; Carnivora; Felidae. RNAcentral also lists the same sequence under 4 other names. The record is from Rfam by way of RNAcentral.